GUAGCAUCUGCACUCAUUUACAUUCAUGUUCAUGUUCCUGCACCUGGUUUCAUUAUGAACAUCACCACUGACAGCAGACAGGUGGGAUGGCGUUUGCAUGUUUGGAUCUAGGAUCAGCUGGUCACAGGAGCUGGAGCGAGCAAGUUAUUUACUUGGAGGUCUUUCUUUCUUUUACCUUUCUUUGUCAGACACAACGCAGAAACAUACCGGUUGCACAAACACCUCUUUGACACUUAAACCAUCCUGCGGCACGUGGGGGAUCCUCAGGGUUGUUCCACCUCCAUCUGUCUAAACUCUUCAUGCGGUGUUAGUCACUCUUAGUCUCCUGAUGGGACAGAAGGCCAGGGUUUGGGUCCCUCGGAUGAGAACGUGUGAAGGAAACAAAUAUUUUUUGGAGGACUUCAGGUUACUGAGCUGUUCCUGCAGCACUGAGAGAACACAGAGCCAAGAGGCGUUUCCUCUCAUUACGUUUUACUGAACACCUCUGAAAGCACCGUCUCCAUCAUCCUGUGACACUCAGCAUCAGCAGCAGCACUUCAAACACCCAGCAGCCCUGGGCUCCCUGUUCCUACAUCUAUUUUUAAUUAGACAGGAGCGACACCCCUGCUGGGGCGCCGGAGUUCACCCAAGUUCACCGGCAGGUUGCUGUUUGGUGUUUUCAACUUCCUGAGUCGGCUGUCAGGGAGGCAACACGGCGAGAAAUCAGUGCAGUUAUAGGGAGAGCAGCGCUGUCAUGUGACGUAUGUUGGAAAUUAAAGUGCCUGCAGCGGGAUCCACGAACCUGUACUUUGGAUACUUCAGGAUGUAUCCAGACCCCUCCAGGCUGUACUACAGAUUUCACACUUAAGUAACAUGCAGGGUGUUGUUCACCUGUGGAGGUGAAAGGUGAGACAGCAGGCUCAGGUGAGUCCACUCUGGAGCAGGUGUUUUCCAGGACGAUCUGUGGAUGAUCCACGGUUGUGACAAUUCUUGGACGGCUACUGAUCUUCUACACUCAGGUAUUCACAUAAACGCUCAGUGGACCAACAGUUCUCAAUGUAGAGCUCAGAUCGGGGGUGGAGGAGAUCGUGUUGGAGCUGAUUCACAUCAGUGGAUGGAGCUACUGGUGGUCACAUCCUGUUUGUGUUGUGAUGUGUGUACUCAGUGGAAGAUUUAGUCUCUGUGUUUGGAGACGAGCCAUCGGUCUGCUGCUGAAUGAGGCCUGAGAGCUCGGCUCUACAACAACCACUCAGUUUACUGCUCCUGCUCAUUAUUUCCAUAAAACCACGUCCUGUGUUUGUUUUAAGAUUAAAUGCAGAGAAAGCUCUGAAACACCUUCUGUCACUGUGUUGUGGUCAAAGCUGUGAGAGUUUCCAUGAAUAAACCUGUGACACACAACAUGAGAGCA
Oreochromis niloticus (Nile tilapia) is the source of this 1387-nucleotide long non-coding RNA. RefSeq lists it as uncharacterized. Lineage: Eukaryota; Metazoa; Chordata; Actinopteri; Cichliformes; Cichlidae. The record is from RefSeq and is a predicted model, not a curated record. The transcript is spliced from 4 exons.